This 253-nucleotide ribosomal RNA is filed under the name uncultured bacterium. Its description in RNAcentral is "partial 16S ribosomal RNA". It matches the Rfam family "Bacterial small subunit ribosomal RNA", at positions 524 to 776 of the family's 1533-position model. The record is from RNAcentral.
UACAGAGGGUGCGAGCGUUAUCCGGAUUCACUGGGUUUAAAGGGUGCGUAGGUGGGCAGGUAAGUCAGUGGUGAAAUCUCCGGGCUUAACCCGGAAACUGCCGUUGAUACUAUCUGUCUUGAAUAUAGUGGAGGUGAGCGGAAUAUGUCAUGUAGCGGUGAAAUGCUUAGAUAUGACAUAGAACAUCGAUUGCGAAGGCAGCUCGCUACGCUAUUAUUGACACUGAGGCACGAAAGCGUGGGGAUCAAACAGG